Molecule: ribosomal RNA, 278 nt
Filed under: Nostoc sp. UCD121
Lineage: Bacteria; Bacillati; Cyanobacteriota; Cyanophyceae; Nostocales; Nostocaceae
Description: partial 16S ribosomal RNA
Rfam family: Bacterial small subunit ribosomal RNA
Source: RNAcentral
CUAGUGGUUGGGGAUGAGCUCGCGGCCUAUCAGCUUGUUGGUGGGGUAAUGGCCUACCAAGGCGGCGACGGGUAGCCGGCCUGAGAGGGUGGACGGCCACAUUGGGACUGAGAUACGGCCCAGACUCCUACGGGAGGCAGCAGUGGGGAAUAUUGCACAAUGGGCGGAAGCCUGAUGCAGCGACGCCGCGUGGGGGAUGACGGCCUUCGGGUUGUAAACUCCUUUCGACCGCGAGGAAGCCGCCUGGUUGGAAGGGUGGUGACGGUAGUGGUAGAAGA